This 464-nucleotide ribosomal RNA is filed under the name uncultured bacterium. Its description in RNAcentral is "partial 16S ribosomal RNA". It matches the Rfam family "Bacterial small subunit ribosomal RNA", at positions 28 to 507 of the family's 1533-position model. The record is from RNAcentral.
GACGAACGCUGGCGGCGUGCUUAACACAUGCAAGUCGAACGGUAAGGCCCUUUCGGGGGUCCACGAGUGGCGAACGGGUGAGUAACACGUGGGUGAUCUGCCCUGCACUUUGGGAUAAGCCUGGGAAACUGGGUCUAAUACCGGAUAGGACUACGCGAUGCAUGUCGUGUGGUGGAAAGCUUUUGCGGUGUGGGAUGGGCCCGCGGCCUAUCAGCUUGUUGGUGGGGUGAUGGCCUACCAAGGCGACGACGGGUAGCCGGCCUGAGAGGGUGUCCGACCACACUGGGACUGAGAUACGGCCCAGACUCCUACGGGAGGCAGCAGUGGGGAAUAUUGCACAAUGGGCGCAAGCCUGAUGCAGCGACGCCGCGUGGGGGAUGACGGCCUUCGGGUUGUAAACCCCUUUCAGCACAGACGAAGCGUAAGUGACGGUAUGUGCAGAAGAAGCACCGGCCAACUACGUG